CACGUAGUUAGCCGGUCCUUAUUCCCCACUGACCGUCAACCCGGAGAACACCCCGGGCCUGCGUAAGUGGUAAAAGAGGUUUACAACCCGAAGGCCGUCAUCCCCCACGCGGCGUCGCUGCGUCAGGCUUUCGCCCAUUGCGCAAGAUUCCCCACUGCUGCCUCCCGCAGGAGUCUGGGCCGUGUCUCAGUCCCAGUGUGGCCGGUCACCCUCUCAGGCCGGCUACCCGUAAUCGCCUUGGUAGGCCGUUACCCCACCAACAAACUGAUAGGCCGCGAGCCCAUCCCCAACCGAAAAACUUUCCACCCUCCAGCAUGAGCCGGAGAGUCGUAUCCGGUAUUAGACGGCGUUUCCGCCGCUUAUCCCGGAGUCAGGGGCAGGUUGCUCACGUGUUACUCACCCGUUCGCCGCUCGUGUACCCCGAAGGGCCUUACCGCUCGACUUGCAUGUGUUAAGCACGCCGCCAGCGUUCGUCCUGAGCCAGGACUCGAAACUCU
RNAcentral lists this ribosomal RNA (497 nucleotides) under uncultured Nocardiopsis sp. RNAcentral describes it as "partial 16S ribosomal RNA". Lineage: Bacteria; Bacillati; Actinomycetota; Actinomycetes; Streptosporangiales; Nocardiopsidaceae. The record is from RNAcentral.